Long non-coding RNA from Sorghum bicolor (sorghum), 482 nucleotides. RefSeq lists it as uncharacterized. The record is from RefSeq and is a predicted model, not a curated record. Lineage: Eukaryota; Viridiplantae; Streptophyta; Magnoliopsida; Poales; Poaceae. The transcript has 2 exons.
UUGCUCUCACGCGGAGGGAGUUGCCAAGGAGGAUUUUGCCGCGGCGGAGGACGUUGGCGAAGGGACCUCUUCCCUGCGCAAAUCUGUCCGGAACUUCAUCAGUUCGUUCUGGAUUAGGUUUGGGCGGGGUGAGGCGAAGAAAAUGGCGGAGGAUCGUCGAGCUGAGGAGAUUGCGAAGAAGAAGGCUAAGGUUGUCAAGGCCGGACCUUCGCGUCCCCCGAGUGAGGCGUGCCCUCCGACCCAGCCCGAAGCGGAGGCUCGUGAUACUGGUGCCAAAGCUCCGGAGGGAUCUGGUGCUAAGGUUUCAGAGACUCCCGAAGCUCCUGCUCCUCCUCCGCCUCAGGUGUGAGGCUUUUUAGUUUUUAGGUUUUUCUUAGUCUUUUUUGCGUCCAAGUGUGUGACGCUUUUUUUGUAAGUAAGGCCGGAGGUUGUGCUUUAUUUUGUAAAGACUGUUUAAAAUAUAAUAUAUUGAGUUGUUUUCA